RNAcentral lists this ribosomal RNA (445 nucleotides) under uncultured Beijerinckiaceae bacterium. RNAcentral's name for it is "bacterial SSU rRNA". It matches the Rfam family "Bacterial small subunit ribosomal RNA", at positions 335 to 798 of the family's 1533-position model. Lineage: Bacteria; Pseudomonadati; Pseudomonadota; Alphaproteobacteria; Hyphomicrobiales; Beijerinckiaceae. The record is from RNAcentral.
GAGCCUACGGGAGGCUGCAGUGGGGAAUAUUGGACAAUGGGCGCAAGCCUGAUCCAGCCAUGCCGCGUGAGUGAUGAAGGCCUUAGGGUUGUAAAGCUCUUUCGGCGGGGACGAUAAUGACGGUACCCGCAGAAGAAGCCCCGGCUAACUUCGUGCCAGCAGCCGCGGUAAUACGAAGGGGGCAAGCGUUGCUCGGAAUCACUGGGCGUAAAGGGCGCGUAGGCGGACGUUUAAGUCAGGGGUGAAAGCCCGAGGCUCAACCUCGGAACUGCCUUUGAUACUGGACGUCUCGAGACCGGAAGAGGUAAGUGGAACUGCGAGUGUAGAGGUGAAAUUCGUAGAUAUUCGCAAGAACACCAGUGGCGAAGGCGGCUUACUGGUCCGGUUCUGACGCUGAGGCGCGAAAGCGUGGGGAGCAAACAGGAUUAGAUACCCUUGUAGUCAC